RNAcentral lists this ribosomal RNA (432 nucleotides) under uncultured bacterium. RNAcentral's name for it is "partial 16S ribosomal RNA". It matches the Rfam family "Bacterial small subunit ribosomal RNA", at positions 29 to 506 of the family's 1533-position model. The record is from RNAcentral.
AACGAACGCUGGCGGCAUGCCUAACACAUGCAAGUCGAACGAGACCUUCGGGUCUAGUGGCGCACGGGUGCGUAACGCGUGGGAACCUGCCCUUAGGUUCGGAAUAACUCCCCGAAAGGGGUGCUAAUACCGGAUAAUGUCUUCGGACCAAAGAUUUAUCGCCUUUGGAUGGGCCCGCGUUGGAUUAGCUAGUUGGUAGGGUAAAAGCCUACCAAGGCGACGAUCCAUAGCUGGUCUGAGAGGAUGAUCAGCCACACUGGGACUGGGACACGGCCCAGACUCCUACGGGAGGCAGCAGUGGGGAAUAUUGGACAAUGGGCGAAAGCCUGAGCCAGCAAUGCCGCGUGAGUGAUGAAGGCCUUAGGGUUGUAAAGCUCUUUUACCCGGGAUGAUAAUGACAGUACCGGGAGAAUAAGCCCCGGCUAACUCCGU